CGGAUUUUCCUAUAUUUCAAGAUUUCCAAAUCAAAGCAAAGACAAGUGAUAACCUUUUUUUGUCAGGUGAACUGCCAACUGGGCUUCAAAGGCCCAACCAGCUAUGCUAUUCCAAAGGAUGCCAUUCAGAGAAAUGAAAGAAACAGUUGAUCAGAUUGAUCCUAUCGUGAUUCAACGCCCACAUAGCGAACUCUCUGUUUUAAUAAUAAUUAUUUCCAAAGCAGAGCACCAAAGCAAUGCACACCUUGACCUCAGGUUUUGGCUUCUGGAAGCCCCUACUGCCUUGACAUUUAGCCCCCACAAUUUUAUACAACAAGAAAGAACAACAAAUAUUAAUAAUUCAGAGUCGAGAUAGCAAAAGUUAUAAAUUCAAUCAAUCAAAACAAGAACAGUCGAAUACAGAAGCAAAUUGCUCAAAUAAUGAGCUAUUUUAAAAUUUUGCUUCAAAUAAUGAGCUAAUUUAAAAAAAAAAUGAAAAAUAAAAAUGAUUUUCAUCAACAACACUCGGAGGAUGACGUCAUAGAUAUCCAUUUAAACAAACUUAACCAAAAAGUCCAAGCACAUCGACAACAGUUAAAAAGUCAAAGAAAGAUCGGUUUUUUACCUGCCUUGGUCAACCCAACAAAACGAGGGGUAAGCCCCAAUUCUGAAUUCAAUCAACGAUCUGGUUCUUAUAGGCCCAGAAGAAAAGAACUAACUAACAAAUAAUUAAUAAUAAUAAAUCAGAAAUAAGAAAUCUUGGUGAAUUUAAUUAAUUGCAAAGGCCCCGGCGUUCAUCAUUUUUCAUCAGAAAUCGGAGAAUUACGUGGACGAUAUAGAGGAGGAAUUAAUGUUGAUCGACCGAUAGAAAUAUUCUGCUAGGGUUCUUAUAUGAGCGAAUGGGGAACUGCUGAUGCUGCCGCUGCUGCUGCUGCUGCUGUACUUUUGAUUAAUUAAUUGGGAACCCGAAGCUGACGAGGGUAUUUGUGAAAUAAUGUUUGUGGAUUAUGGUUAUUUUAGGUAAUAUAUCAAGCCGAUUCCUUCUGGCACACAUUUUUCUUCGGCUAAUAUUCCACAUGGCGUGGCAUCUUAAUUGAAAUUGAAUCCGACCCCCACUGAUGGCCAUUAUUUUGGAAUUUUUUGAAAAAUACAUGAUUAAAAAAUAGAGAAUUUUUUUUGAUUUACGUACAAAAUAUUUUAUUAUGUAAAUAAGUAGUUAAAAAUUAAUAUAAAAAUUAAAGAAUUUCAUUUUAAAGGAAAAUAUUUAUUACCGAAGAAGUCUUAAUUUCAAAAAGUAUUAGGAAUAAAAUAUAGAAUCGAAUAUUGAUUCUUAAAUCAAAAUCAUGGGUACGUUAUGCUUUUUAAAAAGAAUGAUUUUUUGUUAGUUUUAGUGCUUGUAGAAUUUCGUACUUUAUUGCUGAUUUAUAAUUUUUUAUUUGUUCUUUAGGUUCGUAAUUUGGUGUUUAUAUUUGUUAGGUAUUAGAUACUAUUCGGUGGUACAUUUUGUUAGAUAUUGAAUACUUUGCAGCAUAAUUGUAGUGGAUUAAAAAAUUGUUGAAAUUUGUACUUUGUGACAUUUUAUUCAGUUUAUUUUUGUUAGAUAUUGAGAAGACAAUUGUAUCGUAAUUUCAUAUUUUACGAGUAAAAACUUUUAUAGGUAGAAUCAGAAUCGACGAUUCAAGAUCUAUCCCAGUAACUAUGCGAAUCCAAAUGACUUCGUUUAUGAAAUACUCAAAACGUAAUAAUUAAUUUUAAGUAUUGAAACAUCAUGAUUGACCCACUCGAUGUACAAUCCUAAUAUGGACAUCACCAUGUGAAACCAAAUUUUAAUUACGGAUAUUGUAAUAUUUAUAUCAUCAACUUUAUUAUUACAUAAUUUACAUUCUUAUCAGCAAUAUCUCAUUACAUUAUGUUAGUGAUUAUUUUCAUAUGUUUAGAUAGAGUAAAAACGCUUAAAGGAGUGUUCAAGUAAAUUAUUUAACAACUUUUUUGGAAGAAAAUAAAUCUCAUGAAUUGCGGUUGAUAAAUAGUAAUACUUGUGAAUGUAAGUUGAAAUUAACAUUUCAUUUUGGCUGACUAGAAAAGUGAAUUAAUACUUUAAUGUCAACGAACAUUGGCUUAAUUGUUCGUCGUGCUUUUAAAUAAGCAUAAAAAUCAAACACAAACAAACACAUGAUUAAAUAUUUGUCUUUCAUUUUAAAGUAUAUUAACAAAAUUUUUGGACGAUAUUUGUCAUAGGAGCAAGAUAUGCUUGUUAAUAGAAGAUUAAUGAUAAAUUAUAAUUACAAUCUUGACCUAAAAGGUAUUAAUAAGCAAAAAAUGCUUAUUUCGCAUGUAAUUUUUUGACUCCAAAGCUUAUUUAAAUAUUUUAAUUAUUUCAAUUUAAAUUUGGCUGAUUUUUGCACUAUUGUAGCAAGUAUUGUCACUGAAACACACCAACAAAUUUAUUUAAUGGAUUAACUAAUAUUUGGUGACUUAAUCGAAAUAUUUUUUUGAGUCUUGUGCCCAUUUGUUCUAAGAAAAAAAGGUUGAAUGAUUAACCUUUUAUUCUCCUUGAAGAACAUACAUAAAAAUUAAUUUCCUUUUGUGUACAAUUUAUUUUUAGUUACUUGAACAAUAUCUCAAUAGCCAAUGCAGUACAUGAUCACAUCAUACACAAGAAGCUUCUACAGCUAAACUCUUUGUAACCCCUUUACAUGGAUCACCAAACUUAUUGAUUGAGACUCCAAUGCGGCAGCUUCUUGAUCCAAUGCAAGCCUGGGAAAAAAAUUAUGCAAUUGCGAACGAGUAAGAAAGCGCAAAAAUAAUCUUAAAUUCGAAAAGACGCGCUAGACUUUGUUGAAAGAAUCAGUUCGUUACCUUUUGUAUGGCAGGAAGAGCCUGUUUGCUGCUGCAUUGGCCGUGGCUAAAACUUCCACAUGUUCCCUGAGGAGUGCCAAAGCUUGCGAACUUGAUAGAAGUUAUGACCUGAUCUGGAUGAGGACAUUCUAACGAGAGAGUUGGUCCGGCUUUCUUUCUUGCUUCUUCGUCUGAUAAAAGACUUACACUUCAGCUACCCCCACUUUACCCUCAGACUGUUGCACCCCCUAGCAAGCAACUUACACUCAGAUGUUUUAUUUUUCCUAUCGUGAUUAAAAUUUUCAAUAUUUAACACAUAACAACUCGUGUUCGACCAAAUAAGGGUACAGAGUAUAUAUUUUUAAUCACAAAUAAGAAUAAACAAAAGUACAGGAUUCUAAAAGUAUAUAUGUACUUGAGCAUUUGAUUGAUCGCUUUACUAGUUAUUUUUUUUAUUUUUUUUCUCUUUUUUCCUUGAUUGAGGAGGGGUGUAUACUUCUCAUGAGAAAAAAUUUCCAGGUGAUAGUGAUGUAAAGAUAAAACAACAUUUAUUCUGCAAUUUACCUCGGAGCGAAUCAGAUUAUGUGUUUCCUUAACAGGAUAUUCCCUGCAAAUUAAUCCAUGCUGCAUCCUGUACAUGAGAAUCUCCUCUGAACGUUUAAUCGGGCUUCGGAAUUCACAAUCAUCCCCAUUAUAAAAAGGUCCUUCCUCAUCUUCCACAGCCUCAGCCAACAAGGACUCCUGUGAGGCGUGAUUACCCAAACCCCUGCCGGGCAUCAUCACCUUCUUGGGCUUCCUCAUGAAUGAGAACCCAAAACACCCACAGCAGCCCAUUUCUGUCACACUUUCAAACGAAUUUCUCUUGACAAAUACUACAAUACGAAAACCUUUGUGCAAAACAGACCCAAAAUUUAAAAUAUCGAUCCAAAACCUGAAGAACAAAAGCCAAUAAUCAAAUCUAUGCAUUAAAAUGAACACUUCUGUUUAACAACUGACAACAAAACCAAUAAUAAAAAGUAUUAUAGCGACAUCUAGCAGCAUGAAAUUGGAACUGAUUCAAUUAAAAUUCAAGUUAUUUAGCAAUAUCUCAAUUAGAGAAAGGUUUGAAAACCGGAUUUUCCUAUAUUUCAAGAUUUCCAAAUCAAAGCAAAGACAAGUGAUAACCUUUUUUUGUCAGGUGAACUGCCAACUGGGCUUCAAAGGCCCAACCAGCUAUGCUAUUCCAAAGGAUGCCAUUCAGAGAAAUGAAAGAAACAGUUGAUCAGAUUGAUCCUAUCGUGAUUCAACGCCCACAUAGCGAACUCUCUGUUUUAAUAAUAAUUAUUUCCAGAGCAGAGCACCAAAGCAAUGCACACCUUGACCUCAGGUUUUGGCUUCUGGAAGCCCCCACUGCCUUGACAUUUAGCCCCCACAAUUUUAUACAACAAGAAAGAACAACAAAUAUUAAUAAUUCAGAGUCGAGAUAGCAAAAGUUAUAAAUUCAAUCAAUCAAAACAAGAACAGUCGAAUACAGAAGCAAAUUGCUCAAAUAAUGAGCUAUUUUAAAAUUUUGCUUCAAAUAAUGAGCUAAUUUAAAAAAAAAUGAAAAAUAAAAAUGAUUUUCAUCAACAACACUCGGAGGAUGACGUCAUAGAUAUCCAUUUAAACAAACUUAACCAAAAAGUCCAAGCACAUCGACAACAGUUAAAAAGUCAAAGAAAGAUCGGUUUUUUACCUGC
RNAcentral lists this long non-coding RNA (4535 nucleotides) under Olea europaea (common olive). RNAcentral's name for it is "long non-coding RNA (OEUR_LNC011064)". The record is from RNAcentral. Lineage: Eukaryota; Viridiplantae; Streptophyta; Magnoliopsida; Lamiales; Oleaceae.